RNAcentral lists this ribosomal RNA (253 nucleotides) under uncultured bacterium. RNAcentral describes it as "partial 16S ribosomal RNA". It matches the Rfam family "Bacterial small subunit ribosomal RNA", at positions 524 to 776 of the family's 1533-position model. The record is from RNAcentral.
UACGUAGGGGGCGAGCGUUGUCCGGAUUCAUUGGGCGUAAAGGGCUCGUAGGCGGCCAACUAAGUCAGACGUGAAAUCCCUCGGCUUAACCGGGGAACUGCGUCUGAUACUGGAUGGCUAGAGGAUGGGAGAGGGAUGCGGAAUUCCAGGUGUAGCGGUGAAAUGCGUAGAUAUCUGGAGGAACACCGGUGGCGAAGGCGGCAUCCUGGACCAAUUCUGACGCUGAGGCGCGAAAGCCAGGGGAGCAAACGGG